Long non-coding RNA from Prionailurus viverrinus (fishing cat), 1712 nucleotides. RefSeq lists it as uncharacterized. The transcript has 3 exons. Lineage: Eukaryota; Metazoa; Chordata; Mammalia; Carnivora; Felidae. The record is from RefSeq and is a predicted model, not a curated record.
GGAAGCAGGACUGGCCACCAAACAGAUUAUUGUGGACGCAUGCGGGUCUGGGCAAGCUACUUGCCAACACGGCUUGCAUCUCAGGCUGAUGUUGGCAGAAGCCCAGGGUCUCGGCCUGCAAGACGCUGGGGAAGAACAUCUACCAACCCUGUUCUCCUUAAAAGGAGAGCUCCUCCUCAAACAGGCACACAGGACACAGCCGUGGGGGUGGAGAACCAGCCAGCAGCUACCAACAAGCAGGACAUAGCUUCCAGCCCAGGAGGAGUUUAGUGUUUCAAACCACACAUCACAAAUCAUUUCCUCUGCACAUUCCUUGGAAGUUUGGGGGCAUUAACUUUCCAUCUUAUCUUUCCUAGGGUGGAUGCCAGGAGCUGGCCCUAGUGAUGUUUGCAUUUGAACAACAGUGAGAUUGGGUGUCAGCUGCCCCAGGGGCGCCGAGGAAGAUGAAGAAACGGAGCAGGCUGUCUCCAGGCAAAGGAGGAGAGAAGGGCAGAAUCCGGAUGGUAUGGAAUGAACAGCAAGGGAGGGAAGCGGAAAGGGGAACUGGGAUUUGCUACUGCUCUAUCAAAUUACAGUGUGCAAAGCUAGCUCCAGGUGGUGGGCUCCUGGGUGUCACCACCAGGGUACAAACCUCAGUUGUGCCCUCUACUUACUGUGUGACCAUGUGUGAAUGGGCAAACUCUCUGAACUUGAGUUUGCCUCUCAGCAAAACAGUACCUACUUCCUGGGACUGUCAGGGGCACUGAAUGAGAUGACAAGCGACCCUUAGCCCAGCACCUGGUACACAGCAAACACUCCAUCCAAUCUGGACACGAUUAUCAUUCUGCCAGAACUUCUGUGAAAUUUGGUUACAGGUCUGCACUCCUGAGCGAUGAAAGGGCACAGGCCUUAGAAAUAAGAAGACCCAGGUUGAAAAAUGGCUCUGCCACCUAUGACGACCACCUUCUUGAGUUUUCUGGGCCUCAGGCUCCCCCUGGAAAAUGGAGAUAAAGUAAACAACCGCAGAGGACUGCAGUGAGAAAUGAAGCACACGGUGUUUGUAAAGUGCUUGGAGCAGCACUGGCAUGUCCCCCACUAGGUGAGGCCACAGCAAGGAGAUAGUCAUCUGCAACACAGGAAGAGGAGCUCCACCAUAACCUGCUCGUGCUGGCCUCUUGAUCUCAGGUGUCCAGCCCCCAGAACUACGAGAAAUAAAUGACUGAUGAGCAAGCUUCCCCCUCCCCGCCCCCGCCAUCUGUGGCAUUUUAUUAUGGGAGCCUGGACUCAUACAGGCGUUAUAUGAUUAGAACUGACAGACACCGAAGCCGGCUGAUUCAAGGGCGAGGUCCAGGCUGGAGAUACAAACCCAGGAGGCCUUAGCAUGCGGACAAGUUAGUACAACAAAAGGGGGGUAAUAUACUUCCUACCUCACAGGUGGCUGUGAGGACUGAAAUAGAUACUUCACAUGGCCUGCUUAGCACUGUGGUAGGGCACGUAUGAAAGCUUGUAAAUGGGACUGUUACCUGCAGAAGAUCACACAAGGAUAUGCUCUCGGAAUCACAGAAUUUUGGAUAGAUUCUCUAGCUCAAAAACCUUAAUUUGUAGCUAGGGAAACUAAGCUAAGCCAAGAUUAUUGACUUGCCUGGCAUUUUUCUACCAUUAACGAUUGUUUUUUUUUAAGAUUUACAGACCCAGCCAUAAAGGAGGAAGGUGAAGUUUAACCGUACCUUGAU